AGUUAGGCUCAUUGGUGUAUCUUUUAAAAAACCUUCGUUGGAAACGCCUCAUAGAGUAACUGCGUGGUUUCCUUUACUCAUAGAAUUACCUGUUAGAUCUGUGGGAAAGAACUACAAGACAGAG
This is a small nucleolar RNA of Tursiops truncatus (common bottlenose dolphin), 124 nucleotides long. Lineage: Eukaryota; Metazoa; Chordata; Mammalia; Artiodactyla; Delphinidae. The record is from Ensembl.